This is a long non-coding RNA of Macrosteles quadrilineatus (aster leafhopper), 1940 nucleotides long. RefSeq lists it as uncharacterized. The record is from RefSeq and is a predicted model, not a curated record. The transcript has 4 exons. NCBI's taxonomy places the organism in Eukaryota, Metazoa, Arthropoda, Insecta, Hemiptera, Cicadellidae.
GUCCUUGCUUGUCUUGGUUGUCGUUGUCACAUCACAAUCGCGGGAAAGAAAGUGAUUGUGAAGUAGUUUAGUGAUGUGUUGCUAACUUUAUUAAUUAGUUUGGUUUGUUUCUGAUUACCUUUUUGCUGUGGCCCGCAAUCGAAAUACUUCAGUUUUUGGUCUUUCAGUCUUCUAUUGUUUAAUUUUGUUCAAUACUAAUACCAUUCUUCACACCAUCAACUAGAACUAAAAAGUUAGUAAGAAAAUGUCAGAAGCAAAUAAGAAAAAGGCUAGAGGGAGACCUAAACAAAUCAAAGAAGAACAGAACCAAGAUUCCAACAACGUCAGGUCUUCUAAGAGAAAAUCAGAUGUGACUGAUGAGCAGAUUGCCAACAAGAAGUGCCGUGCAGAUGUACCUAAGCUUGUCGCUGUUAGAAUCGAGCAUUGUGUUUCCUGACGAGUAUUCAAGAAGAGGGCGGAAGAGCUUGUCGCAGCUCUCCAGCCUGUUUUCCCUCAGCUUGAGUUUUCCUACAACCCAACCAAGCCUCGCCGAGGAGCUUUUGAAUUUGUGAUCCUUGAAGAUGAAGAAGAAACUGUGAUUUGGAGUGGAUUGAAACGUGGGCCUCCAAGAAAAGAAAAAUUUCCAGAACCAGAAAAACUUCUGGAGCUUUUCAAGAAACAUUUGGACAAGUAAUCAGUUGAAAAUUGUACGAAACUUUGACUUGUAGUUUUGGAUAAUUAUUAUUUUAAGUUUUCAUGUCAAAUGUGUUAUCGAUCUGCAUUGUUUUUUUCUCGACCAUCACUUUAACAGAAAAUUCAAUAUAGUUUUACAUUAGCGUAAAAGGGCCUUUAUUUAAUUGAGGUAAUAAACUUUCCUUGUGAAUCAAUACAUUAGAACAAGUAUGUUAAGAAGUAUGAGUGGUGUUCAAUUUUAGGUCUGAGAUCUUGAGAAGCAGAAUGAAAAAAAUGCAACAGUUAUGACUUGAACAUGGAUUAUUUUGUUAACUCGGUUCGAGUAAAUCUUAUUAGGUGUUUCUCUGUAUUAGAUUAGUUAGUAAAAAAUGUAAAAUCCACCCAAGAUUUAAAAACAUUGCAAUUAGCAGUUUUGCUAUGAAGAACACACUGAAGGAGUUUUACACAAACAAAUUUGUAGUUUAUUAAAUUUGUAUUUAACUUAAAAAAGUAAGUGUUGAGUUUUUCUGUAAUGGAGAGUUGUAAAGAAGUUUUCAACAUAAAAAUGUUCUGUCAUUAUUUUUAGCCUUUGGUUUGAAGCAUAACUUAUAAAUAAUCAAAGAAUUGAUGACGAUUGGUCAGAAAGGAUUCCCACUGGCCUUUCCGAUGCUUGUCUAAGAUUGUUUUUGGUUACGUUUCUUACCAAAUAACAUUUCAUAAAUGGUUUUGGGUAAUAUUUUGCCGAGCUUUUUUGGCCAAAGUGUGUGUUAAGCAAAGCUAAGUUCAACAAAAACAAUAUGACGAUUGGAUAGAAAGGUACCAACCACUAUCUUUUCUGAGGUUAGUUUUGCGUUAUUUUGGCUUUGGUUUGUACAUUCUUUUUUGGGCCUUUUUACUAAAAAAUGUAUUUUGUUCAAUUAUUUUAGGUUAUCCAUUAAGCUUUUUCUUAAGCUAAAGUUUGUGUUUAGCAGAGCUAGAUUCAACAAAAACACUGUGACGAUUGGAUAGAAAGGUACUAACCACUAUCUUUUCUGAGGUUAGUUUUGCGUUAUAUUUAGCUUUGUUUUGUACAAGCUUUACUUUUCAGAAUAUAAAUCUCGUAGGCCCACAUGACUAGAUGUAAGACUUGAAGUACAAAGCUGUCACUUCACUCCCUAAGACAUUAUGUAGUUUAGGAUUUAAGCAUUUUUAUACAAGGUCAGAUUGUUACUGUUUUCUACCUUUGUAAGCUUUUUCUUUGUGUUUUUCUACUUUUAUAAAUAAAACACUGAAAAUAAAUAUAUUUUUCA